RNAcentral lists this ribosomal RNA (424 nucleotides) under Verrucomicrobiota bacterium. RNAcentral describes it as "Verrucomicrobia bacterium partial 16S ribosomal RNA". It matches the Rfam family "Bacterial small subunit ribosomal RNA", at positions 355 to 776 of the family's 1533-position model. The record is from RNAcentral. Lineage: Bacteria; Pseudomonadati; Verrucomicrobiota.
UGAGGAAUAUUGGUCAAUGGACGCAAGUCUGAACCAGCCAAGUAGCGUGCAGGAUGACGGCCCUAUGGGUUGUAAACUGCUUUUAUAUGGGGAUAAAGUGGGGAACGUGUUCCCUUUUGCAGGUACCAUAUGAAUAAGGACCGGCUAAUUCCGUGCCAGCAGCCGCGGUAAUACGGAAGGUUCGGGCGUUAUCCGGCUUUAUUGGGUUUAAAGGGAGCGUAGGCCGUUUGGUAAGCGUGUUGUGAAAUGUAGGAGCUCAACUUCUAGAUUGCAGCGCGAACUGUCGGAAUUGAGUGCGCACAAGGUAGGCGGAAUUCAUGGUGUGGCGGUGAAAUGCUUAGAUAUCAUGAAGAACACCGAUUGCGAGGGCAGCUAACGAGAGCGCUACAGACGCUGAAGCUCGAAGGUGCGGGUAUCGAACAGG